Non-coding RNA from Microcebus murinus (gray mouse lemur), 1089 nucleotides. NCBI's taxonomy places the organism in Eukaryota, Metazoa, Chordata, Mammalia, Primates, Cheirogaleidae. The record is from RefSeq and is a predicted model, not a curated record.
GAAUGGUAUCUACCGCAGAAGGUUUGCAGUGAGGAUUGAAGAAGUUACUAUGCACGAGGCACUUAGAAAAGUGACUGGCACCAAAGUUCUUAUGAAAGUUCGCUACUAUGUAAAAAUAAUAUCGGCCUUAUUUUGUAGAUGGCUUCAUGAGGUUGUGGCUUGUUCAAGACCAGAUAGCUGUAAGAAUCAAACAAAGCUCAGAUUUAUUUAUCUAUGAUUUUUAUUUCAAAAUAUUAGGGGGUGAAAGUGUUCUUGUUACAUGGAUGAGUUGUAUAGUGCUGAAGUCAAGGCUAAAGCUCAGAUUUAAACCAAGUUUGUUCAACCUUAAAUCCUAAGUUAUUUACAUAAUAACUAAUAUAUUGUUCUUUAUAAAGUUCUCAAAGAAAAUCAUGGUACGUGUAAAGAGCUUUGUGCUGGGGCUGGCAUAUAAUAAGUGUGUGCUUGUUGCCAUGUUUAUUGUUGCUGUUAUUGUUACUAGUAUUAUUGCUACUACUGUUAUUAUUGCUUUGGUUAGUGGAGACAAAACACAACAAUAUGGGAUGAAAUAUGAAACAUUGUUACUGCUUUUAAAUGUUAAGCCUUCUUAACCAAAUAACAUUUUACUGUCUUUUAAUAGACACCGCUGUUUCUCCUCUUCCUGUAACUACUGUGAAAUCAGUUAACUUUAGACAAAGUGACAACACUUCUGCUAAUGAGAAGGAGGUGGAGGCAGAAUUUCUCAGGUUAUCUUUGGGAUUUAAGUGCGACUGGUUUACGUUGGAGAAAAGAGUGAAACUUGAAGAGAGAUCCCGGGACUUGGCAGAAGACAAUUUGAAGAAAGAAAUUACUAACUGUCUAAAGCUAUUAGAGGUGAGAAUCAGAACAUUUAGGAGUCUAAACAUUUGGUUAUAUUUUUAAUAAUGUUUUUGUGUGAUGAUCUAUGAGUUUGUGUGUACGACCCACACCGAUACCAGCUACCAAGCCCUGCCUGACUCAUGUGAACUAACAGAGAGAAUUCAGGAUCAGGCUGAAAUACAAGUUUCACUAUUAGGAGAAUAUCAGCAAUAAAAUAACAAAAUGUCCUUUAAAAUGUUGUAUGAGUCAUCUGCC